Molecule: ribosomal RNA, 253 nt
Filed under: uncultured prokaryote
Description: partial 16S ribosomal RNA
Rfam family: Bacterial small subunit ribosomal RNA
Source: RNAcentral
UACGGAGGGUGCAAACGUUGCUCGGAAUCAUUGGGCGUAAAGCGCGUGUAGGCGGCUCGUUAAGUCGGAUGUGAAAGCCCUCGGCUCAACCGAGGAAGUGCAUACGAAACUGGCGAGCUUGAAUAUGGAAGAGGGUCGCGGAAUUCCCGGUGUAGAGGUGAAAUUCGUAGAUAUCGGGAGGAACACCAGAGGCGAAGGCGGCUACCUGGACAAUUGCUGACGCUCAGGCACGAAAGCGUGGGGAGCAAAAGGG